Molecule: ribosomal RNA, 245 nt
Filed under: uncultured bacterium
Lineage: Bacteria
Description: partial small subunit ribosomal RNA
Rfam family: Bacterial small subunit ribosomal RNA
Source: RNAcentral
AGAGCGAACGCUGGCGGCGUGCCUAACACAUGCAAGUCGCACGAGAAAGGGGCUUCGGCCCUGAGUAAAGUGGCGCACGGGUGAGUAACACGUGAAUUAUCUACCUCCGAGUGGGGAAUAACUGAGGGAAAUCUUAGCUAAUACCGCAUAACACUUACGAGUCAAAGCAGCAAUGCGCUUGGAGAGGAGUUCGCGGCCGAUUAGUUAGUUGGCGGGGUAAUGGCCCACCAAGACGAUGAUCGGUA